RNAcentral lists this transfer RNA (75 nucleotides) under Acidobacteriota bacterium. RNAcentral describes it as "Acidobacteria bacterium tRNA-Lys". It matches the Rfam family "tRNA". From Rfam's summary of the family: Transfer RNA (tRNA) molecules are approximately 80 nucleotides in length. Their secondary structure includes four short double-helical elements and three loops (D, anti-codon, and T loops). RNAcentral also lists the same sequence under 1 other name. Lineage: Bacteria; Pseudomonadati; Acidobacteriota. The record is from RNAcentral.
CCCUUCGUAGUGUGAACGCAGCACGCCGGGCUCUUAACCCGUGAAGUGGUGGUUCGAGUCCACCCGGAGGGACCA